UGAGGGCGGCCCCGCCCGCCCCGCUCCCGGCCGCGGGGCAGCGCCGAUCCGCACCCGCCUGCGGUUUAUCGCCCCCGGCAGUGGCCGGCAGGGGCCCGCUCCUCCGUGGAGCGCAGCUGUAGGCGGGGAGGAGCCGCUGUCCCGAAAGGAGCGCCUGGCACCAUGGCAAGGGGUCAACAAUGGAAAGAGACUCCCCUCUGAUACAGCUGCCUUUGAAUUACCUUCUACAAGGAAAAUAUAAAAGAUAUGGAAAGGAGAUUAGCCUAAAAAGAGACCCAUAUAAUUUGAAGUUGACAAAGACAGUGAUCAACAAACCAGUGGAAUUAUAGAUGAAGAACUGUUCUGUGGUGUUUAAAAUGUGUCUUUGCAUUUCCUGCAUAACUGGAUCCUAGCUCAUUAAGGAGAAUGCCUUCAAAUUAGUGACUUCAAAUGGAAUUCAAGAGAGAGUUAAUUCUAUUUGAGGGAGAUGGUUGUAAUCUGUUAAGAGUCAGUUUUUCAGCAGAAAAAGACCACAGAAUGUGGCUUGGAGAUGUGUUGAAUAGGCUUUCUUCAAGGUUCAUCAUGUCAGGGUAAUGCAAGAUAAGAAUUUUUACUUACUGGAGGACCAGGUGGACCAGAAGGAAGCCUGGAAUAUACACUCCUUGCUUGCAUGGAACUUGAAUGGAAACACAAAUAUGUUGUACUCACUGCAUCACCCUU
Molecule: long non-coding RNA, 699 nt
Organism: Vidua chalybeata
Lineage: Eukaryota; Metazoa; Chordata; Aves; Passeriformes; Viduidae
Exons: 8
Source: RefSeq, a predicted model, not a curated record